This 374-nucleotide ribosomal RNA is filed under the name uncultured bacterium. RNAcentral's name for it is "bacterial SSU rRNA". It matches the Rfam family "Bacterial small subunit ribosomal RNA", at positions 28 to 404 of the family's 1533-position model. The record is from RNAcentral.
GACGAACGCUGGCGGCGUGCUUAACACAUGCAAGUCGAGCGGUAAGGCCCUUUCGGGGGUACACGAGCGGCGAACGGGUGAGUAACACGUGGGUGACCUGCCCUCAGCUCUGGGAUAAGCCUGGGAAACCGGGUCUAAUACUGGAUAUGACUCCAUGACGCAUGUUGUGGGGUGGAAAGCCUUGUGCGGCUGAGGAUGGGCCCGCGGCCUAUCAGCUUGUUGUGGGGUGAUGGCCUACCAAGGCGACGACGGUAGCCGGCCUGAGAGGGCGACCGGCCACACUGGGACUGAGACACGGCCCAGACUCCUACGGGAGGCAGGCAGUGGGGAAUCUUGCGCAAUGGGCGAAAGCCUGACGCAGCGACGCCGCGUGA